AUCUUGCUGGAGAUCCUUGCUUACCUGUGGCCUUCUGAAGAAUGCAAUAACUGAAUGACUCUCAACCAUGCACUCGUGAAACCUUGCUGUAACUUCUGCAUAUGAAACUCCAUUGACUCAUACUUUUAUAGUUUUCUCCUUGCUGUGAAGUUGAAAAUGGAAGAUUUGUAUUAGAAAGCUGAUGCAGAUCCGGUCCAAUCUAUCGUUCUGAUUUUUCAAACACCUGAGCCUGAAGUGGGGAAGCUUCUUCAUCUGUGUUCUUACACAACCUCUAUCAAGCAUCAGCUGGUCACAUGGGCAAGAUUUUCAAAAGUGGCCACUGAUUAUCUGUUUCCUUUAUAAUACAUGACUUUUCAGGUAGUACUGGCACUGAUUUUCUCAGUUAUAAAAUCAUAAGAAAGAGGGGCUGGAAGAAAAUUUGCAGUAGGGGACACAUAGAACUGGGACAAUCUGGAGCAAUGAAGAGGAGAGGGAAUGCAUAUAGCAGCUGGGAAAGUGGUGCGAGUGGAGAUGAAUUGGUGUCCAGUGUAAGGUGGUAUAUAGUCCCAGCACUUCUCAGAGCAUCCAACCCAUGCGCCAGCAUUUCUCUGACAAGAUUAAAUAACAAGUAAAGGUUUUCACAGUGAGAAUCCUAACUUUUCAUUUGAUUGGAUUUUAAUAAGGCACAAAUAAAUAUAUCAUAUAAGGAUACGUGAGAAAGUGCAGAGGUCAAAGGAGGAGACGUAAGAAAAGGUAUUCCUAUCCUCUUUCUGCUCCAUCAGGGUUCACAUCUUUACCUUGAUCGUUACCAUGAAAUAUAAAUUUCUUAUGGAGACACUUGCUGAAAUUUUUGUGGAUUGUUCUGGUGGCUCAGGCUGCAAAGAGAAGUGUGAUAUCCUCUGAAGCAGAUAACUGAAUGUGUUCCUGUAGGAGACUUAGAGAACUUAUAGACAACGCCUGAAGCCAGAAGACUUGACACCAGCCUCUGUCCUGGUCAGAUGUAUGUAGGUCAUAUUUUCAUAUGAGAGCUCCCUGUUGGACAGGAGCUCCUUACUCUUGUUAGCGUUCUACCACCUUGAUGAUAUAAGGUGCCCAUCAAAGUCUAUCAGAUCAAACCUCAUUUCAGUAAUCCCUGUUGAUGCGAGGUUAAGAACUUUAAACCAAUGCUGCAAAUUGCUGCAGUCUCACAGCUGCUGUAAACUGUAUCUUAUUUGGGCUGGAUCGAUAGGAUCCAAAGUCUCCUUAUAUUCUGCUCUUUCUUUCACCAAGAAAUAUGCUUGUUAUUAUUCUUCUGUCUUAAGCAAAGAUAUCAUGGUGCAGAGAAAUAGGGCAUCAUUAUUCUUCCCACAUAAAGCGUGGAAACCUUUACCCAUAGCACAUUUAUGCAGUAGCAUCCAAGCCUAUAUCUGUUCCUUGCUUAGAUCUGACUGCAGUCUGUCCCCUCAUCUCCACCUCAUAUAGGAGUGUCACGUAAGGGGAACAGCUCAUGAGUUUAAGUCUUCGUGGCACAUAGAAACGUUGGUGUUCCCUGUUAGGGUUUGUUGCAUGUGAGGAGUAAAUUAUCUUGCCUGUAAUAUUCUGGCAAUGAGUAUUUUUUUGGAGAUUGAUUAAAUGUUUCAGCUUUGCUCAGUCUAUUAAUCUCAGCAGCCAUUUAUUUUAUUGCUUUAUAUACUACAGUGCAUUUGGGACUAUCCCUUAAGCACUGUGUGUAGAAAGCAUGUAGCAGCAAGAUACAAAUCGUGCAUCUUGGAAAUGCUUCUCUGAAAAUGAAGAAAGGAUCUGUCAGUAAAAGGCACGAUGGUUAAUAUUGGUGCUGGAAGCCUCAACACUUUGUCAUCAGUAUCAUGAGCCUCCAUUUCCCACAGCAAAUGAAUGAUACAAACUAUGGAGAACCUAGUGUGCCACUGAUGCACAGACGUUGCACGUCUGUUAAUUCCU
This 1917-nucleotide long non-coding RNA is filed under the name Gallus gallus (chicken). RNAcentral describes it as "lncRNA (ENSGALG00010005952.1)". The record is from RNAcentral. Lineage: Eukaryota; Metazoa; Chordata; Aves; Galliformes; Phasianidae.